RNAcentral lists this long non-coding RNA (578 nucleotides) under Olea europaea subsp. europaea. Lineage: Eukaryota; Viridiplantae; Streptophyta; Magnoliopsida; Lamiales; Oleaceae. The record is from RNAcentral.
CCUCGCCAUUGAUCAUACGCACAAUUUAUCCACCGUCACUUGAAUAACCCUAGAAAGAAGCACCGCAGUCAAUCUAUCAGUCAACUGUUGCUUUGCUUCCAGUGACAGACAAGCAAUAAAAUCCAAACUCAAAAGUCAAACCCAUUCCUAAACCAACCAGCUUCUUCAUCAACUCUUCGAGGACCGAUCCUCGCUCUCCAUCUUUCAUUUCAAUCGGUCCAAUAAAAUGCAAAUGGAAUCCGGGAAGCUUAUCUUCACCGUCGCCGCUAUAUUAGCCGGACUAUGGUUGACUCGUGUUGAACCCAAAUACAUAGCAUACAACACAACCUCGGGAAUUGUACCAGAUAAAAUCAAUGUGCAUUUGGUCCCUCACUCUCACGACGAUGUUGGCUGGUUGAAGACAGUUGAUCAGUACUUUGUCGGCGCCAACAAUUCCAUUCGAGUAUUUUUCCUUCCUUCUUCUCCUAUACCUUGUGCAUUCCUACCCUCGAUUAAUUAUUUACUUGUUUUGCACAGGGAGCGUGUGUCCAGAACGUCUUGGAUUCAGUAAUCGCAGCACUAUUAGAUGACAAGAACAG